This 122-nucleotide ribosomal RNA is filed under the name Pteropus alecto (black flying fox). The record is from RNAcentral. Lineage: Eukaryota; Metazoa; Chordata; Mammalia; Chiroptera; Pteropodidae.
AUCUAUGGCCAUGUCACCCUGAACAAGCCUGAUCCCGUCUGAUCUCGGAAGCUAAGCAGGAUUGGGCCGGCCUGGUAGUACUUGGAUGGGAGACCACCUAGGAAGACUAGGUGCUGUAGACA